Molecule: unclassified non-coding RNA, 200 nt
Filed under: Ascomycota sp.
Lineage: Eukaryota; Fungi; Ascomycota
Description: partial internal transcribed spacer 2
Source: RNAcentral
UUAAGUUCAGCGGGUAUCCCUACCUGAUCCGAGGUCAAGAGCAAAAGUGUAGGCUUGAUGGACGCCAACGUUCCAGCAAAGGGGCGCAAAAUGUGCUGCGCUCCAAGGCUGUUUGCCGGCUGCCAAUAGCUUUGAGGCGAGUCCACGUGUAAAACAGGGACAAACACCCAACACCAAGCAGUGCUUGAAGGUACAAAUGA